AGCGGCUAAAAGUUAUUUCCACUCGUCUCCUACAGCUUUUGCUACCUGAAUAAAUUUUAAAUUUAAAAAUGAGAAUUACGGUUUUAUUACAAAAAGGGUAUAAAUACAUAUAAAUUCGAGAACAUUUGUAGAUUUUGAAAUGACUUUAAAGAUUUUUUGGAUCGUAAAGUACAUAGAUGACUUACAGCGGCCAUAGAUUUGUUGUUAGGGCGCUUCUCUUUGUAGGUUUUGUUGAAUUCCCUUCAAUAAUAAUAAUAAUAAUAACAAUAAAAACAAAUGUAAAUAAUGUAUGCAUACACUCGCACAGAGAAUAAGAGGGGAGUUGAUACAUGAAACAAGGUAAACACUGGCAGGCAUCUCCAGCUUGUUAGGAUCUUUCACAUGUUUACCCUUCUUUGUGCGCUUGCUUGCUGUUACAAUACUUUUACUUCACCUAUAGCCUAUCCAUCAAUAAUCAAAUAAAAUCAAUCUAUUUACAGUUUAAAAUAGCUUCGAAAUUUAACAUUCGAGAUAUGAAUUACUAUGCAAAGUUAGGACAACAACAAAUCAAAUGCAAUUAUUUUUAAAUCAAACACCAAAAAGCACGUGGAUACACAAGCUAGCUUUUCUCCAUUGAAUACCAUAAUAUCUAUGGAAAUAACCAGUUGACGUAAAUGUCCUACUCAUCUCAAACAAAAGGCCAUUACCAUAAAAUUUUUGCUCCAUGUUGAGUGUAAAAUUAACAAUGAACAACUUGAACCAAAAUUCUCUGUUGGUAAUAAUUUACUAAGAAAAUCCUCUCACUAUCAAAAUAUGAAGUUCAAAGAAAAUAUCAGCCAUACUUUUAAUUAAUGUAGAUUGCCUAAAAUUUUGCAAGGUCAGGAGUAUAGUUAUUCCUUAAGUAGGUCUUCAUUAAAGCUUGAAAACACUCUCAAAUCCUUCG
This 922-nucleotide long non-coding RNA is filed under the name Olea europaea (common olive). RNAcentral describes it as "long non-coding RNA (OEUR_LNC009889)". Lineage: Eukaryota; Viridiplantae; Streptophyta; Magnoliopsida; Lamiales; Oleaceae. The record is from RNAcentral.